GGGCUAUAACUCAGUGAUUGACCAUCUGCUUUGCAUGCAAAAGGACCUAGGUUCAAUCCCUGGCAUGUCCC
Molecule: non-coding RNA, 71 nt
Organism: Podarcis lilfordi (Lilford's wall lizard)
Lineage: Eukaryota; Metazoa; Chordata; Lepidosauria; Squamata; Lacertidae
Source: the annotation of a GenBank genome assembly